This 55-nucleotide transfer RNA is filed under the name Ovis aries (sheep). It matches the Rfam family "tRNA", at positions 9 to 63 of the family's 71-position model. From Rfam's summary of the family: Transfer RNA (tRNA) molecules are approximately 80 nucleotides in length. Lineage: Eukaryota; Metazoa; Chordata; Mammalia; Artiodactyla; Bovidae. The record is from Rfam by way of RNAcentral.
GGCUCAGAUGGUAAAGCGUCUGUCUGCAAUGCAGGAGACCAGGGUUCGAUCCCUG